CAGGUGUGUCAGGGUGUACUGACACUGCACAGGUGAGACAGGUGUGCACAGGUGUGCACAGGUGUGCACACGUGGGACAGGUGAGACAGGUGUGUAGAGGUAUGCACAUGUGAGAUGUGUGGCCGAGUGUAAGGACCCUGUACAGGUGUGCACCGGUGUGUCAGGGUGCACUCACCCUGUACAGGUGUGCACAGGUGUGUCAGCCAGGUGUCCAAAGGGGGACACAGGGAGGUAUUUCAUGGCCCCCCCAGGUGUGUGGGCUCCCCCCCAGGUGUGUUUGGGCCCCACCUUGUAGUAGUUGAUGAGGUUCAGGUACUGCAGCGUGGAGAUCAC
Molecule: non-coding RNA, 333 nt
Organism: Zonotrichia albicollis (white-throated sparrow)
Lineage: Eukaryota; Metazoa; Chordata; Aves; Passeriformes; Passerellidae
Source: RefSeq, a predicted model, not a curated record